GGGAAAGCAACAACUGAAGAGAAAGUGAGCACAAAACAGAAAGUGAAAUCACCCCGGCUGCCAGCCGCAUCCCCGAGAAGCUAUCACCACUCACAUUGCUAUUAGACAAAUGAAACCUUAAACCUCUCUACUCUAAUGACCACUGAUUGCCCGGAGUGGUGAGGAAAGGCUAAAGACAGCCACAGAAGCCCGCGCAGCCAGAUGUUGAGGAGGGAUGCUGAAGUGCUGUGGGUCCUUGCAGAAGGCAGGAAUCAGAGGCUCUCAGUUCACGCUGGGGCACUUACCUGUUCACAGCUGUCACUGCAUUUUGCGCUCUCUUCAUAAAUACAUUAACGUGUUCAACAAGCAGUACAA
Molecule: long non-coding RNA, 354 nt
Organism: Rhea pennata
Lineage: Eukaryota; Metazoa; Chordata; Aves; Rheiformes; Rheidae
Exons: 2
Source: RefSeq, a predicted model, not a curated record